GUGGUAGAAAGUAUUUAGAUGGAAAGGCUUAAAAGUUGAAGCUUUGAUAUUUUUCUCCGUUCAACCAAAUACCAAUUAAAUGACACCAUUUAACCAAAUACAGAAGCAGAAAAACUUCAUAGCGAAACACCCUAAAAUUGAAAUCAAGAUACAAUCGUAUAUCAGCAAAAGAGAGUUCAUUCUUUCCUUGUUUCAGUUUGACUCUUC
Molecule: unclassified non-coding RNA, 207 nt
Filed under: Hevea brasiliensis (rubber tree)
Lineage: Eukaryota; Viridiplantae; Streptophyta; Magnoliopsida; Malpighiales; Euphorbiaceae
Source: RNAcentral